Molecule: transfer RNA, 73 nt
Filed under: Phrynosoma platyrhinos (Desert horned lizard)
Lineage: Eukaryota; Metazoa; Chordata; Lepidosauria; Squamata; Phrynosomatidae
Description: tRNA-OTHER
Source: RNAcentral
AGCCAGGAUGGUGUAGUUGUUUGAGCAUUGGACUAUGACUCUGGAGACCAGGGUUCAAAUCCCAGCUUGGCUG